Molecule: ribosomal RNA, 253 nt
Filed under: uncultured bacterium
Lineage: Bacteria
Description: partial 16S ribosomal RNA
Rfam family: Bacterial small subunit ribosomal RNA
Source: RNAcentral
UACGAAGGGGGCUAGCGUUGCUCGGAAUUACUGGGCGUAAAGGGCGCGUAGGCGGACAGUUUAGUCAGAGGUUAAAGCCCAGGGCUCAACCUUGGAAUCGCCUUUGAUACUGGCUGUCUUGAGUACGGGAGAGGUGUGUGGAACUCCGAGUGUAGAGGUGAAAUUCGUAGAUAUUCGGAAGAACACCAGUGGCGAAGGCGACUACCUGGCCUGUUCUUGACGCUGAGGCGCGAAAGCCAGGGGAGCAAACGGG